GUGAGGAAUAUUGGUCAAUGGGCGGGAGCCUGAACCAGCCAAGUCGCGUGAAGGAAGAAGGAUCUAUGGUUCGUAAACUUCUUUUGCAGGGGAAUAAAGUGCAGGACGUGUCCUGUUUUGUAUGUACCCUGAGAAUAAGGAUCGGCUAACUCCGUGCCAGCAGCCGCGGUAAUACGGAGGAUCCGAGCGUUAUCCGGAUUUAUUGGGUGUAAAGGGUGCGUAGGUGGUUUGAUAAGUCAGCGGUGAAAGUUUGCAGCUUAACUGUAAAAAUGCCGUUGAAACUGUCGGACUUGAGUGUAAAUGAGGUAGGCGGAAUGCGUGGUGUAGCGGUGAAAUGCAUAGAUAUCACGCAGAACUCCGAUUGCGAAGGCAGCUUACUAAGCUACAACUGACACUGAAGCACGAAAGCGUGGGGAUCAAACAGGAUUAGAUACCCCGGUAGUCC
This 445-nucleotide ribosomal RNA is filed under the name uncultured bacterium. RNAcentral's name for it is "partial 16S ribosomal RNA". It matches the Rfam family "Bacterial small subunit ribosomal RNA", at positions 354 to 796 of the family's 1533-position model. The record is from RNAcentral.